Molecule: ribosomal RNA, 497 nt
Filed under: uncultured bacterium
Lineage: Bacteria
Description: partial 16S ribosomal RNA
Rfam family: Bacterial small subunit ribosomal RNA
Source: RNAcentral
GAUGAACGCUGGCGGCGUGCCUAAUACAUGCAAGUCGAGCGAACGGACGAGAAGCUUGCUUCUCUGAUGUUAGCGGCGGACGGGUGAGUAACACGUGGAUAACCUACCUAUAAGACUGGGAUAACUUCGGGAAACCGUAGCUAAUACCGGAUAAUAUUUUGAACCGCAUGGUUCAAAAGUGAAAGACGGUCUUGCUGUCACUUAUAGAUGGAUCCGCGCUGCAUUAGCUAGUUGGUAAGGUAACGGCUUACCAAGGCAACGGUGCAUAGCCGACCUGAGAGGGUGAUCGGCCACACUGGAACUGAGACACGGUCCAGACUCCUACGGGAGGCAGCAGUAGGGAAUCUUCCGCAAUGGGCGAAAGCCUGACGGAGCAACGCCGCGUGAGUGAUGAAGGUCUUCGGAUCGUAAAACUCUGUUAUUAGGGAAGAACAUAUGUGUAAGUAACUGUGCACAUCUUGACGGUACCUAAUCAGAAAGCCACGGCUAACUACGUG